This 484-nucleotide ribosomal RNA is filed under the name uncultured bacterium. Its description in RNAcentral is "bacterial SSU rRNA". It matches the Rfam family "Bacterial small subunit ribosomal RNA", at positions 1 to 478 of the family's 1533-position model. The record is from RNAcentral.
AAUUCGCCCUUAGAGUUUGAUCAUGGCUCAGAUUGAACGCUGGCGGCAUGCCUUACACAUGCAAGUCGAACGGUAACGCGGGGCAACCUGGCGACGAGUGGCGAACGGGUGAGUAAUAUAUCGGAACGUGCCCAGUCGUGGGGGAUAACUGCUCGAAAGAGCAGCUAAUACCGCAUACGACCUGAGGGUGAAAGCGGGGGAUCUUCGGACCUCGCGCGAUUGGAGCGGCCGAUAUCAGAUUAGGUAGUUGGUGGGGUAAAGGCCUACCAAGCCGACGAUCUGUAGCUGGUCUGAGAGGACGACCAGCCACACUGGGACUGAGACACGGCCCAGACUCCUACGGGAGGCAGCAGUGGGGAAUUUUGGACAAUGGGGGCAACCCUGGUCCAGCCAUGCCGCGUGCGGGAAGAAGGCCUUCGGGUUGUAAACCGCUUUUGUCAGGGAAGAAAUCCUUUGGGCUAAUAACUCGGAGGGAUGACGGUAC